GUUCCAACAAAAAGAUGACCACAGUGGAAAGCAGAAAGCAGAAGUGAGCUUCAAUUAUAUUGCACCAGCACACAUUGUCAUAUACAACUGGACGACAAGAGGUCGUUGGCAUCCAGUAUCUAUGUUUGUACGGGUAGGUCCACUAAGAAGAUAAACACUUCAUACCAAAAAGGUCCUGCGUUAAUCCAAAACCUCUGGUCCUUGA
RNAcentral lists this unclassified non-coding RNA (205 nucleotides) under Hevea brasiliensis (rubber tree). Lineage: Eukaryota; Viridiplantae; Streptophyta; Magnoliopsida; Malpighiales; Euphorbiaceae. The record is from RNAcentral.